AAUAAGCUAUUUAAGAGCGUACGGUGGAUGCCUAGGCUCUCAGAGGCGAUGAAGGACGUGAUAAGCUGCGAUAAGCUGCGGGGAUUGGCACACACAAUUUGAUCCGCAGAUUUCCGAAUGGGGAAACCCACUAUAUUGAAGAUAUAGUAUCCGUUAAGGAAGCAAACCCAGGGAACUGAAACAUCUAAGUACCUGGAGGAAUAGAAAACAAAAGUGAUUCCGCUAGUAGUGGCGAGCGAACGCGGAAUAGCCCAAACCAAAAUUGUUUCGGCAAUUUUGGGGUUGUAGGA
RNAcentral lists this ribosomal RNA (290 nucleotides) under uncultured Flavobacteriaceae bacterium. RNAcentral's name for it is "partial 23S ribosomal RNA". It matches the Rfam family "Bacterial large subunit ribosomal RNA", at positions 1 to 305 of the family's 2925-position model. The record is from RNAcentral. Lineage: Bacteria; Pseudomonadati; Bacteroidota; Flavobacteriia; Flavobacteriales; Flavobacteriaceae.